This is a small nuclear RNA of Acomys russatus (golden spiny mouse), 102 nucleotides long. The record is from RefSeq and is a predicted model, not a curated record. Lineage: Eukaryota; Metazoa; Chordata; Mammalia; Rodentia; Muridae.
GUGCUCGCUUCGGCAGCACAUAUACUAAAAUUGGAACGAUACAGAGAAGAUUAGCAUGGCCCCUGCACAAGGAUGAAAAAUCAUAAUGGAAUCCAUUAUUUU